This 465-nucleotide ribosomal RNA is filed under the name uncultured Klebsiella sp. RNAcentral's name for it is "bacterial SSU rRNA". It matches the Rfam family "Bacterial small subunit ribosomal RNA", at positions 338 to 795 of the family's 1533-position model. Lineage: Bacteria; Pseudomonadati; Pseudomonadota; Gammaproteobacteria; Enterobacterales; Enterobacteriaceae. The record is from RNAcentral.
CCUACGGGCGGCUGCAGUGGGGAAUAUUGCACAAUGGGCGCAAGCCUGAUGCAGCCAUGCCGCGUGUGUGAAGAAGGCCUUCGGGUUGUAAAGCACUUUCAGCGGGGAGGAAGGCGUUAAGGUUAAUAACCUUGGCGAUUGACGUUACCCGCAGAAGAAGCACCGGCUAAUUCCGUGCCAGCAGCCGCGGUAAUACGGAGGGUGCAAGCGUUAAUCGGAAUUACUGGGCGUAAAGCGCACGCAGGCGGUCUGUCAAGUCGGAUGUGAAAUCCCCGGGCUCAACCUGGGAACGGCAUUCGAAACUGGCAGGCUAGAGUCUUGUAGAGGGGGGUAGAAUUCCAGGUGUAGCGGUGAAAUGCGUAGAGAUCUGGAGGAAUACCGGUGGCGAAGGCGGCCCCCUGGACAAAGACUGACGCUCAGGUGCGAAAGCGUGGGGAGCAAACAGGAUUAGAUACCCCAGUAGUC